AGACGACAAAAUUUGUAUAAGACGCUU
This 27-nucleotide small RNA is filed under the name Bombyx mori (domestic silkworm). Its description in RNAcentral is "piRNA piR-bmo-1681771". The record is from RNAcentral. Lineage: Eukaryota; Metazoa; Arthropoda; Insecta; Lepidoptera; Bombycidae.